This 389-nucleotide ribosomal RNA is filed under the name uncultured bacterium. RNAcentral's name for it is "bacterial SSU rRNA". It matches the Rfam family "Bacterial small subunit ribosomal RNA", at positions 355 to 761 of the family's 1533-position model. The record is from RNAcentral.
UCGGGAAUUUUGGGCAAUGGGCGAAAGCCUGACCCAGCAACGCCGCGUGAGGGAUGAAGUAUUUCGGUAUGUAAACCUCGAAAGAAUGGGAAGAAUAAAUGACGGUACCAUUUAUAAGCUCCGGCUAACUACGUGCCAGCAGCCGCGGUAAUACGUAGGGAGCAAGCGUUGUUCGGAUUUACUGGGCGUCAAGGGAGCGUAGGCGGCGCGGUAAGUCACUUGUGAAAUCUCUGAGCUUAACUCAGAACGGCCAAGUGAUACUGCUGUGCUAGAGUGCGGAAGAGGCAAGCGGAAUUCUUGGUGUAGCGGUGAAAUGCGUAGAUAUCAAGAGGAACACCUGAGGCGAAGGCGGGUUGCUGGGCCGACACUGACGCUGAUGCGCGAAAGCC